Molecule: non-coding RNA, 30 nt
Filed under: Mus musculus (house mouse)
Lineage: Eukaryota; Metazoa; Chordata; Mammalia; Rodentia; Muridae
Source: RNAcentral
UGGGUGUACUGGAAUGACAGCCGUGAGAGU